UACGGGGGGAGCGAGCGUUGUUCGGAGUUACUGGGCGUAAAGCGUGCGUAGGCGGUGUCUUAAGUUUGUUGUGAAACCUCCCGGCUUAACCGGGAGGGUGCGGCGAAUACUGAGAUGCUGGAGUGCCGGAGAGGUAAGCGGAAUUCCUGGUGUAGCGGUGAGAUGCGUAGAUAUCAGGAGGAACACCUGUGGUGUAGACAGCUUACUGGACGAUAACUGACGCUGAGGCACGAAAGCGUGGGUAGCAAACAGG
RNAcentral lists this ribosomal RNA (253 nucleotides) under uncultured bacterium. RNAcentral's name for it is "partial 16S ribosomal RNA". It matches the Rfam family "Bacterial small subunit ribosomal RNA", at positions 524 to 776 of the family's 1533-position model. The record is from RNAcentral.